UGCAAGCAUAUGAUUGAUUUUUUUCUAAAUUUCUAUUACUACAAUAAUGAGUAAACUACUACUUUUAACGUUUGUGAUAUGGUUUUGUUGCUCAUUGCAAUUAUGUGAUUCUGGUUUGAUUAAAAUUAAGGAGGAAAAUAUUCAUGCGGUUUCAAGGCAUCAUGCAGAAACAAGACAUUUGAGAUGUAAAAAGGUUAGAUCCAUCAAAGUAUCUACGGUAAAGGAUUCUACACCCACAGAAGAUGAGGGACGUAAUGACACAGUUGCGCUUGCAGAUACAUAUCUUCAUACAUCUCAAUCAACUGAAUCACUUGCAUCUAAUAGUACAAUUUUUGAGGUAUCUGUAAUAGAUGACAAUAUAUCAAAUUGUUGUGCUAUAGUGGGAUGUCGGACACGUGAUGAUGCAAAUGUCAAUUAUUUUAUUCAAAAAGUGACUUGCGAAUGUAACAGUGAUGGAUUUUGCCACUAUACCAUGAUUUCAGCAAUUUCAUUUAAAAUACCUACCUGUAAAUCUGACGAAAUACUUGUUUAUGGAGCAUGUCGGCCAAAACAUUGAGGAAUACUUUUGUUAGACUGUCUUUUAAAUGUAUUCCGAUAUGAUCAAUAACAACUACUAAAUGCAAUAUUAAAAAAACUUGUGGUUUCAAGAAAUAAAAGGUUUUUAGAAAUUAGCUGAUGAAUGAUAAAAAUUCUGAAUUUCCAGACAAGCAUUGCCCUUAAAUAAACAACACACUUUACAUAUUUGGGUGCUGUACUUUCUAUAUGGGACAUGCUUUAUUAUCAAAGAAACACAAUACAUGUGUUAUCAGAGGAAAAUAUUUUAUCGUAUGCUCAAGAGCUGUAGAUUGAAAAAUAGUAGAUUAUAUAAAUUGGAAAGAUAUGCAAUGAAAUUUAAAGUAUGUAUGACAAAAUUUUUCAACCAAUUUAAUUGAGUUAUCAAAACUUAAAUUAUCAUGUAUCUUAUUAUGAAGUCACAAAAUAUAUAUAAAUAAAGGGGCUCUGCAUAAAAUAAAUACCAUCUAAUUUACAUUACGAAUUAUAAGAGUAUGCAAUUUUAUUGUCGUAAUUUUAGCAUUUUUUCGUUGAACUAUACGUCUAAAGAUACUUAUUAUUUAUUUAUAUCUAUAAUAAAGAUAGUAUAAAAAUAAUACUGAGAAAAUAAAGUAAGCAUUUUUAAUACGUUAUGAGGAUUUGACUUUGAUGAUUAGCAAAACCACAAAAAGGUCAUUUACGCAAAAAUUCUCUGAAAUUGUAAGAAAAAUUGCCAAGCUCAGGAAAAAGAAAAUGUUAAUAGGCACUAAAUUACAUAAAUCUCGUCAGGUAUUAAUUAUGUGUCGUAUGUACUAUGAAUUAUGAAUCAUUACUCGCAAAGUAGAGUCUACUCGUAUCAAGAGGACAUAGAAAUUCUACUUCAUCAGUAUAUCUAAAAUAUUAGCAGCCUACGUAUGAAUCUAGUAGAUAUUAUUUUAAAUUCAUUUUAUUACAACGUUUAGUAAACUUACGACUGCAAUAUUUAUUCCAAGCCUAAUAUGGUGCUUGUGUUUAACGCAACUAUAUGACGCAAGCGUUACAAGAAAAGAUUACAACUUCUCACGAGAUCCCCUGAAAGGUCAAGAUAAAGUUGAAGUACCCGUCGACUCUUAUUUUAGAUACAAUGCUAGCGAAGAUUAUUUAUACGAAAUAGAAGAAAAAUCAGCAGAUGGUGGAUAUAAAAAAAAAGCUGUUGAAUUUACCAUCGAAAAUAAAGAUUACAACACAAUAAUGGCUGCUGAUAGUAUCCAGACUACUAUCGAAUUGAACGAUAACUUAUUGAUAAAUAGAAAAAGUUCUGAAAAAAUCAGUUCAUCACCUUCAUUUAUUACGGUUUAUCAGGAAACACCAUCUAGUUGUUGCUCUAAAGCUGGAUGUGGAAUACGUAAAAAUAAAACAUCAAAAUUAUCUCAUGAACGGGCGUAUGCAUUAAUACGCUGUGAAUGUGGAAAUGAUGGACUUUGCAUUUGGUCCACCGAACAGCCGUCGAUGAUAUUAGCAUCGCCUCGCUGUGAAUCAGAUGAAAUAUUUGUUCACAAUGAAUGUCGACCUAAAGAUUAAUUAUUUUAAAUCAUAACAUAUUCCUCGUUAAAUUUUACAUUUUUGCUGUUUUGUAACUAUGAUAUGACUUUUUAGAACGAAUUUUGUUUUUUCGUACCUAUUGUAUAUAACUUUGGCUCAGCUGUUUACAUGUUUCAAGACAAACAUUAAUGUACAAAUUGAGUUUUUUUAAAAAUAAAAGUAACUACAUGAUAAUUUCACCAAAAUCCCAUUGAUCCCUUCAAAAAUAUUUAUCAAGUAGAAGUACCUGCGAUAUUAUCAUUUUAUUACACUCUGGUAAAGUCUCUUUGGAUAAUGGGACUCAAGUUUUUACUUUUUUCUUUUGUUGACGGCCAUCCAGAUAUUUUUAUCUUUUGUUAUAUAAAUAAUUAAUAUA
Unclassified non-coding RNA from Copidosoma floridanum, 2467 nucleotides. NCBI's taxonomy places the organism in Eukaryota, Metazoa, Arthropoda, Insecta, Hymenoptera, Encyrtidae. The record is from RefSeq and is a predicted model, not a curated record.